UACGGAGGGUGCAAACGUUGCUCGGAAUCAUUGGGCGUAAAGCGCACGUAGGCGGUCCAGCAAGUCGGGUGUGAAAGCCCUCGGCUUAACCGAGGAAGUGCAUUCGAAACUGUGAGGCUCGAGUAUGGAAGAGGGUCGCAGAAUUCCCGGUGUAGAGGUGAAAUUCGUAGAUAUCGGGAGGAAUACCAGUGGCGAAGGCGGGUCUCUGGGCAGUAACUGACGCUGAGGAGCGAAAGCGUGGGGAGCGAACAGG
Molecule: ribosomal RNA, 253 nt
Filed under: uncultured bacterium
Lineage: Bacteria
Description: partial 16S ribosomal RNA
Rfam family: Bacterial small subunit ribosomal RNA
Source: RNAcentral